RNAcentral lists this transfer RNA (86 nucleotides) under Gammaproteobacteria bacterium. Its description in RNAcentral is "tRNA-Tyr". It matches the Rfam family "tRNA". From Rfam's summary of the family: Transfer RNA (tRNA) molecules are approximately 80 nucleotides in length. Their secondary structure includes four short double-helical elements and three loops (D, anti-codon, and T loops). The record is from RNAcentral. Lineage: Bacteria; Pseudomonadati; Pseudomonadota; Gammaproteobacteria.
GGGAGGGGUUCCCGAGUGGCCAAAGGGAUCAGACUGUAAAUCUGACGCGCAAGCUUCGGUGGUUCGAAUCCACCCCCCCCCCACCA